CCGGUAUUGCAUGCUUUACCUGCAUGUACUGUAUGGGAGUAAUGGAAGAGAAGAAAUAAUUUGAAAUAUGGAGAAGCAGUGUCAGUAUCAAGAAUUAUUUACCAGGUUUCAUCUUCGAUGCAAGCUCUACUCCAGUUGAAAAAACCAGGAUUACAUAUACCUCACAAGUGGCUCGACUUACUUACAAUGAUGGAGAAAUUCACACCUCGACUGAAGUACGAGAAAGUGCUAUGGGAAUUUCCUCCUAGAGGAUGGCUCAAAGUGAAUACAGAUGGAGCAUGCAGAGGGAACACAGGGAGGAGUUCUAUUGGGUUUUGUUUAAGAGAUGAGAUAGGUUAUUUGAUAUAUGCAGAAGGAAGAGGAAUUAAGGAGGGUUCUAACAAUGAAGCUGAGGCAACAGGAAUAUUAGAGGCAAUGAGAAUGUGCAAAUCAAUGAACCUCAACAAUAUUUUGCUUCAGUCAGAUUCACUGAUGCUUCAAAUGAUCAUAGAUGGACAAUUGAGACCACCAUGGAAUAUUGUAGAUGCGGUGGAGGAAAUCAACAUACUCAAAACGGGGUGUAAUUUCAAUGUAUCUCAUAUUUUUAGAGAGGGAAACAAUCUAGCAGACCACCUUGCAAAUCAUGCUCUCGACUGUGGUAACAUCGAGUGUUUUCAUUUUUGGGAACUAGAUGUCUUGAGCAUGAGGAUUGUUAAUGAUGAUAAGUUACAGUUUACAAAAUUGAGAAUAAGAGUUGCAAGAAAUUAGGGAAGGAAAUGGAAGGCGCUAAGGGAAACAUGGGGAUAAUCCCUACUGUUUUUUUCCAUUUUUUAGGUAAAUCAUUUGUGCUGCUGUUUGUUUGUUUUCAAGCAAUUUUCAGUGGUGGUAUUAAUGCAAUGCAUUCAUCCCACUGGAAGUAACUUGCAGAUGGACAAUGGUACAAACCAUGAAAGCAACAACAAACAAGGAAACAUUGUUUCUUUUAUCAAGUGGAAAUGUACAGCUGCAGUGUAACAUCUCCUGCGUAAUUUUGGAUUUGCAACACAAUAACAUUAGUGUUAUUCACAUGCCUAGGAUGGAGGAACAAAAGUCGAGACGUGGACUCAAUUCACGCCAGACCAUGCGUGUUUUUUGGAUGGAUCCCCAACCAACAAGCACGCUGC
This 1142-nucleotide long non-coding RNA is filed under the name Nicotiana benthamiana. RNAcentral's name for it is "long non-coding RNA (NBEN_LNC028620)". Lineage: Eukaryota; Viridiplantae; Streptophyta; Magnoliopsida; Solanales; Solanaceae. The record is from RNAcentral.